CCAGCAGCCGCGGUAAUACGUAGGGUGCGAGCGUUGUCCGGGAUUAUUGGGCGUAAAGAGCUCGUAGGCGGUCUGUCGCGUCUGCUGUGAAAACCCGAGGCUCAACCUCGGGCCUGCAGUGGGUACGGGCAGACUAGAGUGCGGUAGGGGAGAAUGGAAUUCCUGGUGUAGCGGUGGAAUGCGCAGAUAUCAGGAGGAACACCGAUGGCGAAGGCAGUUCUCUGGGCCGUAACUGACGCUGAGGAGCGAAAGCGUGGGGAGCGAACAGGAUUAGAUACCCUGGUAGUCCACGCCGUAAACGUUGGGCGCUAGAUGUGGGGACCAUUCCAGUUUCCGUGUCGCAGCUAACGCAUUAAGCGCCCCGCCUGGGGAGUACGGCCGCAAGGCUAAAACUCAAAGGAAUUGACGGGGGCCCGCACAAGCGGCGGAGCAUGCGGAUUAAUUCGAUGCAACGCGAAGAACCUUACCAAGGCUUGACAUAUAGAGAACGGGCUAGAAAUAGUCAANNCUCUUUGGACACUCGUAAACAGGUGGUGCAUGGUUGUCGUCAGCUCGUGUCGUGAGAUGUUGGGUUAAGUCCCGCAACGAGCGCAACCCUCGUUCUAUGUUGCCAGCACGUAAUGGUGGGAACUCAUAGGAGACUGCCGGGGUCAACUCGGAGGAAGGUGGGGAUGACGUCAAAUCAUCAUGCCCCUUAUGUCUUGGGCUUCACGCAUGCUACAAUGGCCGGUACAAAGGGCUGCAAUACCGCAAGGUGGAGCGAAUCCCAAAAAGCCGGUCUCAGUUCGGAUUGAGGUCUGCAACUCGACCUCAUGAAGUCGGAGUCGCUAGUAAUCGCAGAUCAGAACGCUGCGGUGAAUACGUUCCCGGGCCUUGUACACACCGCCCGUCAAGUCAUGAAAGUCGGUAACACCCGAAGCCGGUGGCC
This 928-nucleotide ribosomal RNA is filed under the name bacterium CR5_2_MR-2014. RNAcentral's name for it is "bacterial SSU rRNA". It matches the Rfam family "Bacterial small subunit ribosomal RNA", at positions 508 to 1435 of the family's 1533-position model. The record is from RNAcentral.